Daucus carota subsp. sativus is the source of this 918-nucleotide long non-coding RNA. RefSeq lists it as uncharacterized. The record is from RefSeq and is a predicted model, not a curated record. The transcript is spliced from 3 exons. Lineage: Eukaryota; Viridiplantae; Streptophyta; Magnoliopsida; Apiales; Apiaceae.
AAAACCAAAAUCCCGAAAAUUAACCCCAAAACCGAACUCCCCAAAACAAAAUGAAACAUUAAAACAUAUAAUCUGCCGUCUUCUUUGGGAACCCUAGCCCCCUUCUUUCUCAUUCUUCAAUUUGUUCAUACAAGCUCCGAUGCGCUCAUUCUGGUUGAGUAAAAGCUUAUACAAGCUCCUAUGGUCAAUUAGAAGGUCAUACAAGCUCCGAUUUGUUUUCUUUAGAGUUUCGAUUGUUCGAUUUGCUCAUACAAACUCAUAACACCUCCGGGAAUGUCAUUGUCUGGGUCUUUCUUGCAUAGAUUUGUUUCUUUGUGUCAAGGAUGUAUGUGUCUAAGAACUCAAUAUUUCAAUUAGCUUCUUUUUGUGUUAUUUUGGUUUGUUUACUUAGGUGGGUCAAUUUUUUCGAUGGGGUCAUGUGGGUGUAAGAGGGUCAAGUGGGUUUCGACCGAACUUUAGAGCUUGAAGUUCAAGUGGGUUUCAAUUAAAAUUUGGAGUUUUGGUUUGUGAUUGGAGUUUGGAUGUUUGGGUUUUGGUUAGUAGCGAGGUAACCAAAGUGAGUGUAGGAGUUGAUGUGUGCAUGGUUAAUGAAAGAGGCUUCUAUUUCAACUUUGCAGAAAUUCAGAAACCUCUCUAUGCUAAUAGGACUAAUUUAAAUAUGAAUGGGUCAUGUGCACAAGCUUUUAGUCACUUUGAAACGAGGAGGAUUGGAAUGCAGCUGCUCAACAUAGUGAUGAAUGAAGAUUUUUAGUCACUUUUUUUUUUACUUCUUCAUCUAUUCUUGCUUUUAGAUUGACUUUUGUAAGAAUGGUUUAUAAGUUGGUGCCUUAGUCUGGUUUCUAUGUAUCUUUCAACUCGAUGACUCGGUUUGUACUUUGUAUUUUCUUUUUGUCAAUUUCAAGUCAAGAAAAUUUCAUA